RNAcentral lists this ribosomal RNA (864 nucleotides) under Talaromyces aurantiacus. RNAcentral describes it as "LSU rRNA". It matches the Rfam family "Eukaryotic large subunit ribosomal RNA", at positions 37 to 919 of the family's 3401-position model. Lineage: Eukaryota; Fungi; Ascomycota; Eurotiomycetes; Eurotiales; Trichocomaceae. The record is from RNAcentral.
AGCAUAUCAAUAAGCGGAGGAAAAGAAACCAACCGGGAUUGCCUCAGUAACGGCGAGUGAAGCGGCAAGAGCUCAAAUUUGAAAUCUGGCCCCUUGGGGGUCCGAGUUGUAAUUUGCAGAGGAUGCUUCGGGUGCGGUCCCCAUCUAAGUGCCCUGGAACGGGCCGUCAUAGAGGGUGAGAAUCCCGUCUGGGAUGGGCGGCCGUGCCCGUGUGAAGCUCCUUCGACGAGUCGAGUUGUUUGGGAAUGCAGCUCUAAGCGGGUGGUAAAUUUCAUCUAAAGCUAAAUACUGGCCGGAGACCGAUAGCGCACAAGUAGAGUGAUCGAAAGAUGAAAAGCACUUUGAAAAGAGAGUUAAACAGCACGUGAAAUUGUUGAAAGGGAAGCGUUGUCCACCAGACUCGCCCGGGGGGGUUCAGCCGGCACUCGUGCCGGUGUACUCCUCCCCGGGCGGGCCAGCAUCGGUUUGGGCGGCUGGUGAAAGGCCCCGGGAAUGUAACACCCUCCGGGGUGCCUUAUAGCCCGGGGUGCCAUGCAGCCAGCCUGGACCGAGGCCCGCGCUUCGGCGAGGAUGCUGGCGUAAUGGUGGUCAACGGCCCGUCUUGAAACACGGACCAAGGAGUCUAACAUCUAUGCGAGUGUUCGGGUGUCAAACCCGUCCGCGCAGUGAAAGCGAACGGAGGUGGGAGCCCCCCGGGGUGCACCAUCGACCGAUCCUGAUGUCUUCGGAUGGAUUUGAGUAAGAGCAUAGCUGUUGGGACCCGAAAGAUGGUGAACUAUGCCUGAAUAGGGCGAAGCCAGAGGAAACUCUGGUGGAGGCUCGCAGCGGUUCUGACGUGCAAAUCGAUCGUCAAAUUUGGGUAUA